GAUGAACGCUGGCGGCGUGCCUAAUACAUGCAAGUCGAGCGAACAGACGAGGAGCUUGCUCCUCUGACGUUAGCGGCGGACGGGUGAGUAACACGUGGAUAACCUACCUAUAAGACUGGGAUAACUUCGGGAAACCGGAGCUAAUACCGGAUAAUAUAUUGAACCGCAUGGUUCAAUAGUGAAAGACGGUUUUGCUGUCACUUAUAGAUGGAUCCGCGCCGCAUUAGCUAGUUGGUAAGGUAACGGCUUACCAAGGCGACGAUGCGUAGCCGGCCUGAGAGGGUGAUCGGCCACACUGGAACUGAGACACGGUCCAGACUCCUACGGGAGGCAGCAGUAGGGAAUCUUCCGCAAUGGGCGAAAGCCUGACGGAGCAACGCCGCGUGAGUGAAGAAGGUCUUCGGAUCGUAAAACUCUGUUAUUAGGGAAGAACAAAUGUGUAAGUAACUAUGCACGUCUUGACGGUACCUAAUCAGAAAGCCACGGCUAACUACGUG
RNAcentral lists this ribosomal RNA (497 nucleotides) under uncultured bacterium. RNAcentral's name for it is "partial 16S ribosomal RNA". It matches the Rfam family "Bacterial small subunit ribosomal RNA", at positions 28 to 507 of the family's 1533-position model. The record is from RNAcentral.